UCUGUGUCCUGUCCACAGUGGGAGGAGGUGAGCGGGUACGAUGAGAACAUGAACACGAUUCGCACCUACCAGGUGUGCAACGUCUUUGAAUCCAGCCAAAACAACUGGCUCCGGACCAAGUACAUCCGGAGGCGAGGAGCGCACCGCAUCCAUGUGGAGAUGAAAUUUUCUGUCCGGGACUGCAGCAGCAUCCCUAAUGUCCCAGGCUCCUGUAAGGAGACUUUUAACCUCUACUAUUUCGAGUCGGACUUUGACUCAGCCACCAAGACUUUUCCUAACUGGAUGGAGAAUCCUUGGAUGAAGGUAGACACAAUUGCUGCCGAUGAGAGCUUCUCGCAGGUGGACCUAGGUGGACGGGUGAUGAAGAUUAACACCGAGGUGCGCAGUUUUGGGCCUGUCUCCAAGAAUGGUUUCUACCUGGCCUUCCAGGACUAUGGAGGCUGCAUGUCCUUGAUUGCCGUCCGUGUCUUCUACCGCAAGUGUCCCCGCGUGAUCCAGAAUGGGGCAGUCUUCCAAGAAACCCUGUCAGGAGCAGAGAGCACCUCACUGGUGGCAGCCCGGGGGACGUGCAUCACCAACGCAGAGGAGGUGGAUGUGCCAAUCAAGCUGUACUGCAACGGGGAUGGCGAGUGGCUGGUGCCCAUCGGCCGCUGCAUGUGCCGGGCGGGCUAUGAGUCGGUAGAAAAUGGGACUGUCUGCAGAG
Molecule: non-coding RNA, 703 nt
Organism: Pelecanus crispus (Dalmatian pelican)
Lineage: Eukaryota; Metazoa; Chordata; Aves; Pelecaniformes; Pelecanidae
Source: RefSeq, a predicted model, not a curated record